This 501-nucleotide ribosomal RNA is filed under the name uncultured bacterium. Its description in RNAcentral is "partial 16S ribosomal RNA". It matches the Rfam family "Bacterial small subunit ribosomal RNA", at positions 30 to 523 of the family's 1533-position model. The record is from RNAcentral.
AUUGAACGCUGGCGGCAGGCUUAACACAUGCAAGUCGAGCGGGGGAAGGUAGCUUGCUACCGGACCUAGCGGCGGACGGGUGAGUAAUGCUUAGGAAUCUGCCUAUUAGUGGGGGACAACAUCUCGAAAGGGAUGCUAAUACCGCAUACGUCCUACGGGAGAAAGCAGGGGAUCUUCGUAACUUGCGCUAAUAGAUGAGCCUAAGUCGGAUGAGCUAGUUGGUGGAGUAAAGGCCUACCAAGGCGACGACCUGUAGCGGGUCUGAGAGGAUGAUCCGCCACACUGGGACUGAGACACGGACCAGACUCCUACGGGAGGCAGCAGUGGGGAAUAUUGGACAAUGGGGGGAACCCUGAUCCAGCCAUGCCGCGUGUGUGAAGAAGGCCUUAUGGUUGUAAAGCACUUUAAGCGAGGAGGAGGCUACUUUAGUUAAUACCUAGAGAUAGUGGACGUUACUCGCAGAAUAAGCACCGGCUAACUCUGUGCCAGCCGCCGCCGUAA